AAGUCGUAACAAGGUUUCCGUAGGUGAACCUGCGGAAGGAUCAUUAGUGAAAUUAGGGCUGCUGCUUCGGCAGAGCCUGACCUCCACUUUCUAACUCUUGUGCACUAUUGGCGGGAGAAGUAAGGACUUUCGGGUCCGGUCAUCUCUCGCGGCUUACUUUUUAUAACACGAGUCAAAGUAUGUCAUAAACCAUAACAAAGAAAAACUUUCAACAACGGAUCUCUUGGCUCUC
This 232-nucleotide unclassified non-coding RNA is filed under the name Leucosporidiales sp. Its description in RNAcentral is "partial contains small subunit ribosomal RNA, internal transcribed spacer 1, and 5.8S ribosomal RNA". The stretch from base 1 to 46 matches the Rfam family "Eukaryotic small subunit ribosomal RNA", at positions 1786 to 1831 of the family's 1831-position model. The record is from RNAcentral. Lineage: Eukaryota; Fungi; Basidiomycota; Microbotryomycetes; Leucosporidiales.